Pelobates cultripes (western spadefoot toad) is the source of this 111-nucleotide non-coding RNA. NCBI's taxonomy places the organism in Eukaryota, Metazoa, Chordata, Amphibia, Anura, Pelobatidae. The record is from the annotation of a GenBank genome assembly.
UUUGGAAUUUCUGAACUUCUCUUGCAGCCGCUUGGUAGAUAACUCCCUAAUACCGUGGGAAUUAGGGAGUUAUCUACCAAGCGGCUGCAAGAGAAGUUCAGAAAUUCCGAA